GAGGGGCAUUAGGACCCCUGCUUCUGUCCUUCCUCCCGCAGGGAGAGCCUAAGCUUAAAAUCUGGGGCUGCUUCUCGAGUCCAGGACCCGGAGGGGGGGAAGCUGGGCUGGGUUUGGGGGCCCAGGUGGAGUCGGGACAAGGAGGGAGAAAGUUGGGGCUGAGUUGGGGGACCAGAGAGAGAAAGUGGGGGCGGACCGGCUCCGGGGGCACAUGACGGCGGCGCCCGCCCCGCCCCGCGCCCGCCCCCUGUCCGGCCCGGGGGGGAGGAGACGGGAAGGUUUUAAAAGCGAUUCGGCCCCGCGGCGGGCCGGCCAGUGAGUGGGAUGGAGCCGGGCCCGCGACCGACCCCGGCCCGUCUCGGGUCCGCCGCCCGCCCGCGUCUCUGCCGCCGGGCCCGGGGCGGCGGCCGGAGCCCUGAGUGCCGGCUCCCCUCCCCCGCGGGUGAGUCGGGGAGGGAACCGGGAGGGAAGGCGGCGGCGCCGCGGCGACGGCGGCAACUUUUCUGCGCCGGACUCGUGGGCGGAGUGGGGGGGUGCGCCCGGCGGGUCCCCAGCGCUUGGAGAGGGGGAGGGCGCCGCCCCGCCGCCGGUGGCUCUGUGUGUGUGUGGGGGGGGGUGCAGCGGGGAUCGUGCAUCUGGCGGCGGCGGUGGCGGCAGAGUCCCGGGGCGCCCCCUACGGAGCGGGGGAAGGGCAGCCCAACAUUUACCCCCUCCCCAGGAGACCCCUGGCCAGUCCCCCCACCGGAGACCCUUGAGAGCGUGGUGGGGAGGGCGGGUCCCAUAGUCACGGGGGCAGGUCCAGGUGGGCCGGGAGUCAGCGGCAGGGUGGGAAGGGGGAGGGCAUAUGCCCGGGCUGGGGUGGGGAGGGAUGGAUACACACGGGUACCUGGGAUCCUAGGGUGCCUCUCAGGGCUUUGGUGGGGAUGGGGCUGGAGGAGUGGGUGGGUGGGGGUCUCCCAGAGUUCCGAGGAUGGCGGGUGACACGGUGGUUCAAGUUCUUGACAUGUCGGCCAACGAGUGGAGGGAAGGCCUUCCAUUGAGCAGAUGGGCUUGGGGGCCCCAAGGUGUAGCCCCAGCUUGGUGGAGAUUGGGGCACCCCUCCCCUCCCUCUUGGCUCCUCCGGGCCCAGGAGAGAGGAGCUCAUUCAAGGUUGCUUAGGAAGGGGGCCAGGUGUGGGAGAUUCGUGGAGGGAUGACUCCCCAGUCCCGUGCCCCGCGAGCGGCCCGCAGUCCUCAUGCCCUUGGGCUGCAGGCCCCUGACUAAAACCUGAACCUUGUAUUCUAGCCCCACACUGACCUCUGACCCCAGCACUGGACUUGACUGCCACCAGAGCCCCCAGCCCUACACUGACUUGCCUAUUCAGCCCAGCCAGGCCCAGCCAGACCCAGUGGCCUCCCGAAUGCCUUGAAGGUGCCAACCUCCGGUCCCACCCGGUGCCCUCCAACCCCUGUGCCAUGGCCGGCUGGGGUUCCUGGGGAUGGGAUUUGCUGCCUGUCACAAAUCACAUUGCCAGGGAUUUCCAACCGACCCUGAGCCCUGCCUCUGGGGCUGCCGCCACCGCCUUCGCUGCUGAGGACGCUGCCCGGGGAUAGGGCCGGGGAUGGGAGGCCGAGAGGCCCCCCUCCCCCUGCUGCCUGCGUCUGGCCUGGGGAGCAGGGCUUAGCUGCUUGUGAGCAGAGUCCACACCAAGUCGUGUUCACAGUGGCUAAGUUCCGCCCCCCGGGACCCCGCCUCCUCUGGCCCUGCUGCCUGCCUGUCCCACUGUCCGGGCCUCCCUGGGCUCUGCCUCCCGUGCCUACUGAGCUGAAACACAGUUGAUUUGUGCAGACUGGCUCAGUUCAGCAGGAACAGGAGUCGAGCCCCCUCGAAGCCUGUGCAGCCUGCCUUCCUUGGGUGGGCUGAUUCCUAGGGGAAAAGCUGAGGACCCAGACCCAGACCUGUGUUGGGCGGAGGGACUUGGGGGAGGGGCAAUAUAGCCUGGAAUGGGGUGGGUGGACCCAGCUGUCUGCCGUAGGCGCCCUCCCCCAACUCUGUACUUGGGGGUCCUGCCCCCUGCACGGUCCUACUUCCGGGUGAGGCUGGGCAGAACUCCUAGGGAGAAUGGGCAGGUGGGUGAGUGGCCCUCCCACUAGAAAGGGAAGCCGUCUGGGUCCCUAUCCCCUCCCAGUAACCCUCCCAGCCUGGAGCCUUGGCCUUUUCUCUCCCAGGACUGGUGGGACGUGGGCCAGGCCUGUACCUUCCCAGCAGCCAGUUACUCAAGAGGAAGCUGCCCUGGGCCCCCAGACCGUUAAAUGCCAACUCCGGCUUCCGGAACCAGGCUGGCCUGACCUGAGUGUGCCUGGCCUCUUCUCCCUGAACCCUGCAGCGUCCUAACUUUGGGGGUGUGGGGAGAGCUGUGACACUCUCUGGGCACGUGGAGCAGGGAGCAAGGUCCCUUGUGGGCCCAGAAAGGACACAGAUGGGCCUGUUGAGUCCACCGGUGGCCCUGCAGUGCACCUGCUACUAUAAGACCUGAGACUGUCCAGUGUCAGAUGGGAUGGACUCUGCGACCAGGCAGAGAGAAGCCCCCUAGGCUGUCAGGGCUGGCCCAGGGUACCCUUUCACCCAGGGAUAGGGGCAUACUUCAGCUCGGGGCAGGGUCUGUGCUGUGUGUUGCUGCUGUCCAAUUAAAUAAAACCUGCCUCCUACCUCA
Leopardus geoffroyi (Geoffroy's cat) is the source of this 2692-nucleotide long non-coding RNA. RefSeq lists it as uncharacterized. The transcript is spliced from 2 exons. The record is from RefSeq and is a predicted model, not a curated record. NCBI's taxonomy places the organism in Eukaryota, Metazoa, Chordata, Mammalia, Carnivora, Felidae.